CUACACAUGCAGUCGAGCGGAUGAGAAGAGCUUGCUCUUCGAUUCAGCGGCGGACGGGUGAGUAAUGCCUAGGAAUCUGCCUGAUAGUGGGGGACAACGUCUCGAAAGGGACGCUAAUACCGCAUACGUCCUACGGGAGAAAGCAGGGGACCUUCGGGCCUUGCGCUAUCAGAUGAGCCUAGGUCGGAUUAGCUAGUUGGUGGGGUAAAGGCUCACCAAGGCGACGAUCCGUAACUGGUCUGAGAGGAUGAUCAGUCACACUGGAACUGAGACACGGUCCAGACUCCUACGGGAGGCAGCAGUGGGGAAUAUUGGACAAUGGGCGAAAGCCUGAUCCAGCCAUGCCGCGUGUGUGAAGAAGGUCUUCGGAUUGUAAAGCACUUUAAGUUGGGAGGAAGGGCAUUUACCUAAUACGUGAGUGUUUUGACGUUACCGACAGAAUAAGCACCGGCUAACUCUGUGCCAGCAGCCGCGGUAAUACAGAGGGUGCAAGCGUUAAUCGGAAUUACUGGGCGUAAAGCGCGCGUAGGUGGUUCGGUAAGUUGAAUGUGAAAUCCCCGGGCUCAACCUGGGAACUGCAUCCAAAACUGCCGAGCUAGAGUAUGGUAGAGGGUGGUGGAAUUUCCUGUGUAGCGGUGAAAUGCGUAGAUAUAGGAAGGAACACCAGUGGCGAA
This 674-nucleotide ribosomal RNA is filed under the name unidentified microorganism. Its description in RNAcentral is "bacterial SSU rRNA". It matches the Rfam family "Bacterial small subunit ribosomal RNA", at positions 49 to 719 of the family's 1533-position model. The record is from RNAcentral.